GAUGAAGAACGUAGCGAAAUGCGAUAAGUAAUGUGAAUUGCAGAAUUCAGUGAAUCAUCGAAUCUUUGAACGCACAUUGCGCCCGCCAGUAUUCUGGCGGGCAUGCCUGUUCGAGCGUCAUUUCAACCCUCAAGACCCCUUCGGGGGACUUGGUGUUGGGGACCGGCACAGGGGCCUGCCUGCUUGUCUUGCAGCGCCCUCGCCGCCCCCGAAAUGAAUUGGCGGCCUCGUCGCGGCCUCCCCUGCGUAGUAGCACAACCUCGCAACGGGAACGUGACGGCGGCAACUGCCGUAAAACAACCCCAAUUUUAUUAGAGUUGACCACGAAUCAGGUAGGAAUACCCGCUGAACUUAAGCAUAUCAAUAAGCGGAGGA
RNAcentral lists this unclassified non-coding RNA (375 nucleotides) under soil metagenome. RNAcentral describes it as "partial contains 5.8S ribosomal RNA, internal transcribed spacer 2, and large subunit ribosomal RNA". The stretch from base 1 to 120 matches the Rfam family "5.8S ribosomal RNA", at positions 35 to 154 of the family's 154-position model. The record is from RNAcentral.